GACGAACGCUGGCGGCGUGCUUAACACAUGCAAGUCGAACGGAAAGGCCCUGCUUUUGUGGGGUGCUCGAGUGGCGAACGGGUGAGUAACACGUGAGUAACCUGCCCUUGACUUUGCGAUAACUUCAGGAAACUGGGGCUAAUACCGGAUAGGAGCUCCUGCUGCAUGGUGGGGGUUGGAAAGUUUCGGCGGUUGGGGAUGGACUCGCGGCUUAUCAGCUUGUUGGUGGGGUAGUGGCUUACCAAGGCUUUGACGGGUAGCUGGCCUGAGAGGGUGACCGGCCACAUUGGGACUGAGAUACGGCCCAGACUCCUACGGGAGGCAGCAGUGGGGAAUAUUGCACAAUGGGCGGAAGCCUGAUGCAGCAACGCCGCGUGCGGGAUGACGGCCUUCGGGUUGUAAACCGCUUUCGCCUGUGACGAAGCGUGAGUGACGGUAAUGGGUAAAGAAGCACCGGCUAACUACGUG
RNAcentral lists this ribosomal RNA (468 nucleotides) under uncultured bacterium. Its description in RNAcentral is "partial 16S ribosomal RNA". It matches the Rfam family "Bacterial small subunit ribosomal RNA", at positions 28 to 507 of the family's 1533-position model. The record is from RNAcentral.